AGCAGUCGCCACGGUAAUACGAAGGGUGCAAGCGUUAAUCGGAAUUACUGGGCGUAAAGCGCGCGUAGGUGGUUUGGUAAGAUGGAUGUGAAAUCCCCGGGCUCAACCUGGGAACUGCAUCCAUAACUGCCUGACUAGAGUACGGUAGAGGGUGGUGGAAUUUCCUGUGUAGCGGUGAAAUGCGUAGAUAUAGGAAGGAACACCAGUGGCGAAGGCGACCACCUGGACUGAUACUGACGCUGAGGUACGAAAGCAUGGGGAGCAAACAGGAUUAGAUACCCCGGUAGUCCCUGUCUCUUAUAC
RNAcentral lists this ribosomal RNA (303 nucleotides) under uncultured bacterium. RNAcentral's name for it is "partial 16S ribosomal RNA". It matches the Rfam family "Bacterial small subunit ribosomal RNA", at positions 507 to 807 of the family's 1533-position model. The record is from RNAcentral.